This is a long non-coding RNA of Oncorhynchus keta (chum salmon), 478 nucleotides long. RefSeq lists it as uncharacterized. The transcript is spliced from 3 exons. Lineage: Eukaryota; Metazoa; Chordata; Actinopteri; Salmoniformes; Salmonidae. The record is from RefSeq and is a predicted model, not a curated record.
UACUGCUCUCUUGGUGUGGUGCAGGUGAAGUACCCCUCUACUGCUCUCUUGGUGUGGUGCAGGUGAAGUACCCCUCUACUGCUCUCUUGGUGUGGUGCAGGUGAAGUACCCCUCUACUGCUCUCUUGGUGUGGUGCAGGUGAAGUACCCCUCUACUGCUCUCUUGGUGUGGUGCAGGUGAAGUACCCCUCUACUGCUCUCUUGGUGUGGUGCAGGUGAAGUACCCCUCUACUGCUCUCUUGGUGUGGUGCAGGUGAAGUACCCCUCUACUGCUCUCUUGGUGUGGUGCAGGUGAAGUACCCCUCUACUGCUCUCUUGGUGUGGUGCAGGUGAAGUACCCCUCUGCUGCUCUCUUGGUGUGGUGCAGGUGAAGUACCCCUCUACUGCUCUCUUGGUGUGGUGCAGGUGAAGUACCCCUCUACUGCUGUCUUGGUGUGGUGCAAGGUAAAGAACCAGCAUGGAACCCUAGAGAUGUGUUA